RNAcentral lists this ribosomal RNA (468 nucleotides) under uncultured bacterium. Its description in RNAcentral is "partial 16S ribosomal RNA". It matches the Rfam family "Bacterial small subunit ribosomal RNA", at positions 28 to 507 of the family's 1533-position model. The record is from RNAcentral.
GACGAACGCUGGCGGCGUGCUUAACACAUGCAAGUCGAACGGAAAGGCACUGCUUCUGUGAGGUGCUCGAGUGUCGAACGUGUGAGUAACACGUGAGUAACCUGUCCUUGACUUUGGGAUAACUUCUGGAAACUGGGUCUAAUACCGGAUAGGAACUCCUUCUGCAUGGUGGGGGUUGGAAAGUUUCGGCGGUUGGUUAUGGACUCGCGGCUUAUCAGCUUGUUGGUGGGGUAGUGGCUUACCAAGGCUUUGACGGGUAGCCGACCUGAGAGGGUGACCGGACACAUUGGAACGGAGAUACGGCACAGACUCCUACGGGAGGGAGGAGAGGGGAAGGUUGCACAAUGGGAGGAAGCCUGAUGCAGCAACGCCGCGUGCGGGAUGACGGCCUUCGGGUUGUAAACCGCUUUCGCGUGUGACGAAGAGUGAGUGACGGUAAUAGAUAAAGAAGCACCGGCUAAAUACGUG